AUUUCUAGCUUGCUAGAAGAUGACGAGCGGCGGACGGGUGAGUAAUGCUUGGGAACAUGCCUUAAGGUGGGGGACAACCAUUGGAAACGAUGGCUAAUACCGCAUAAUGUCUACGGACCAAAGGGGGCUUCGGCUCUCGCCUUUAGAUUGGCCCAAGUGGGAUUAGCUAGUUGGUAAGGUAACGGCUUACCAAGGCGACGAUCCCUAGCUGGUUUGAGAGGAUGAUCAGCCACACUGGAACUGAGACACGGUCCAGACUCCUACGGGAGGCAGCAGUGGGGAAUAUUGCACAAUGGGCGCAAGCCUGAUGCAGCCAUGCCGCGUGUGUGAAGAAGGCCUUCGGGUUGUAAAGCACUUUCAGUCAGGAGGAAAGGUUAGUAGUUAAUACCUGCUAGCUGUGACGUUACUGACAGAAGAAGCACCGGCUAACUCCGUGCCAGCAGCCGCGGUAAUACGGAGGGUGCGAGCGUUAAUCGGAAUUACUGGGCGUAAAGCGUACGCAGGCGGUU
RNAcentral lists this ribosomal RNA (509 nucleotides) under Pseudoalteromonas sp. CUA-846. RNAcentral's name for it is "bacterial SSU rRNA". It matches the Rfam family "Bacterial small subunit ribosomal RNA", at positions 71 to 580 of the family's 1533-position model. Lineage: Bacteria; Pseudomonadati; Pseudomonadota; Gammaproteobacteria; Alteromonadales; Pseudoalteromonadaceae. The record is from RNAcentral.